AACGCAAAUUGCACUCUCUGGUAUUCCGGAGAGUAUGCCUGUUUGAGUGUCUUGAAGUCAUCAACCCCUCCCGUUUCGUGCGGUGAGGUGUGUUGGAGCUGGGGGCUUUGCGGCCGUGAGGUUCGCUCCCCUCAAAUGCUUCGGUUGGGCCUGCGGGUCGAACUUGGUUUGGGCGUUGUACCAUCCUCGCUCCUGUCCGAGACGUUCCUGCCUACGAGAGCCCUCCCAUGACCGCCUGUAGGGCAGCGGUCGCUUCUUUUGAAAUCUGACCUCAAAUCAGGUAGGACUACCCGCUGAACUUAA
This 303-nucleotide unclassified non-coding RNA is filed under the name uncultured fungus. RNAcentral describes it as "partial contains 5.8S ribosomal RNA, internal transcribed spacer 2, and large subunit ribosomal RNA". The stretch from base 1 to 52 matches the Rfam family "5.8S ribosomal RNA", at positions 103 to 154 of the family's 154-position model. Lineage: Eukaryota; Fungi. The record is from RNAcentral.